Molecule: unclassified non-coding RNA, 343 nt
Filed under: soil metagenome
Description: partial contains 5.8S ribosomal RNA, internal transcribed spacer 2, and large subunit ribosomal RNA
Rfam family: 5.8S ribosomal RNA (bases 1-120)
Source: RNAcentral
GAUGAAGAACGUGGCGAAAUGCGAUAAGUAAUGUGAAUUGCAGAAUUCAGUGAAUCAUCGGAUCUUUGAACGCACAUUGCGCCCGCUAGUAUUCUGGCGGGCAUGCCUGUCCGAGCGUCAUUUCAACCCUCAAGCCCCCGGGCUUGGUGUUGGGGAUCGGCGAGCCUCCGCGCCCGCCGUCCCCUAAAUCUAGUGGCGGUCUCGCUGUAGCUUCCUCUGCGUAGUAGCACACCUCGCACUGGGAAACAGCGCGGCCACGCCGUUAAACCCCCAACUUCUGAACGUUUGACCUCGGAUCAGGUAGGAAUACCCGCUGAACUUAAGCAUAUCAAUAAGCGGAGGA